Rhodococcus erythropolis PR4 is the source of this 129-nucleotide non-coding RNA. NCBI's taxonomy places the organism in Bacteria, Bacillati, Actinomycetota, Actinomycetes, Mycobacteriales, Nocardiaceae. The record is from Rfam.
GGCUUUCUUUGCGGCGGAGUUGGACCGCCCACACAGGUGAAGGUCGAAUCUAUCGACCGACACACGGGUGAACACGGCGUCCAACCGAUCUGCGAUACGUUGAAAGACACCGACGUCGCGAUCGCGCCG